Molecule: long non-coding RNA, 484 nt
Organism: Anopheles arabiensis
Lineage: Eukaryota; Metazoa; Arthropoda; Insecta; Diptera; Culicidae
Exons: 3
Source: RefSeq, a predicted model, not a curated record
CCUAGCGAUGGCAACUGUGAGUACGCUGAUAGUUUGUACAUGCAUACACCAAGGGAGCAAUACAUUUGCAGCCGCCAGCCUGCAGAUAAGGGGCGCAUGGUUUUUAUUUACACACCAGUCUGGUACGGACAAAUGUGCGUGUGGGAAGCAUACAGAAGUGGUACUACUGCGAACCAGUCAAGGACAGUGCUUUGCGCGGGAGUACAGUAUCUGUUGAGCGCAGAUUAAAGUGACGCGAAAAUGUAACCAGAAAAGGCUAUUCAGUGCGAUGCAAUGUUUGGCACAAGUGAACUUGCAUGAACAACCAUGCGUCUCCAUCGCGUUCGGGAAAUUAAACGACUUUCGUCGUAAAUGAGCAGCUGGAGUUACUUUGUAGGCAAAGUAUCUAUAGACAAGGUACACAUCAAGCAGGAAAUACAUUGGCGAGGAAAAUCUGCUUAUCCACAUGAGGGAAAUACCAUCGGAAUAGAAAAUAACCUACCCC